RNAcentral lists this ribosomal RNA (465 nucleotides) under uncultured bacterium. RNAcentral's name for it is "partial 16S ribosomal RNA". It matches the Rfam family "Bacterial small subunit ribosomal RNA", at positions 28 to 507 of the family's 1533-position model. The record is from RNAcentral.
GACGAACGCUGGCGGCGUGCUUAACACAUGCAAGUCGAACGGUAAGGCUCCAGCUUGCUGGGGUACACGAGUGGCGAACGGGUGAGUAACACGUGGGUGACCUGCCCUGCACUUCGGGAUAAGCCUGGGAAACUGGGUCUAAUACCGGAUAGGACCGCACCGUGAGGGUGUGGUGGAAAGUUUUUUCGGUGUGGGAUGGGCUCGCGGCCUAUCAGCUUGUUGGUGGGGUAAUGGCCUACCAAGGCGGCGACGGGUAGCCGGCCUGAGAGGGUGGACGGCCACAUUGGGACUGAGACACGGCCCAGACUCCUACGGGAGGCAGCAGUGGGGAAUAUUGCACAAUGGGCGGAAGCCUGAUGCAGCGACGCCGCGUGGGGGAUGACGGCCUUCGGGUUGUAAACUCCUUUCACCACCGACGAAGGGUUUCUGACGGUAGAUGGAGAAGAAGCACCGGCUAACUACGUG